UACAGAGACCCCGAGCGUUACCCGGAUUUAUUGGGCGUAAAGGGUUCGUAGGUGGUUUAGUAAGUUGGCGGUUAAAGCUCAUCGGCUUAACCUUUGAGAUGCUGCCAAUACUGCUAGACUAAGAGGGCGUUAGAGGUGAACGGAACCGAUGGAGUAGGGGUGAAAUCCGUUGAUAUCAUCGGGAACACCAAAAGCGAAGGCAGUUCACUGGGGCGACCCUGACACUGAGGAACGAAAGCGUGGGGAGCAAAAAGG
Molecule: ribosomal RNA, 255 nt
Filed under: uncultured bacterium
Lineage: Bacteria
Description: partial 16S ribosomal RNA
Rfam family: Bacterial small subunit ribosomal RNA
Source: RNAcentral